AGCAGCCGCGGUAAUUCCAGCUCCAAUAGCGUAUAUUAAAGUUGUUGCAGUUAAAAAGCUCGUAGUUGAAUUUCGGGAUCAGUACGCUGGUCAUGCCUUUGGUAUGCACUGGUGUCACUGGUUUCUCCCUUCUGAAGAACCGUGAUGUCAUUAAUUUGGUGUCGCGGGGAAUCAGGACUGUUACUUUGAAAAAUUAGAGUGUUUAAAGCAGGCUCACGCUUGAAUACAUUAGCAUGGAAUAAUGAAAUAGGACGUUUGACCCUAUUUUGUUGGUUUCUAGGAUCGACGUAAUGAUUAAUAGGGAUAGUUGGGGGCAUUAGUAUUCAAUUGUCAGAGGUGAAAUUCUUGGAUUUAUUGAAGACUAACUACUGCGAAAGCAUUUGCCAAGGAUGUUUUCAUUAAUCAAGAACGAAAGUUAGGGGAUCGAAGACGAUCAGAUACCGUCGUAGUCU
This 452-nucleotide ribosomal RNA is filed under the name uncultured Glomus. RNAcentral's name for it is "SSU rRNA". It matches the Rfam family "Eukaryotic small subunit ribosomal RNA", at positions 569 to 1026 of the family's 1831-position model. Lineage: Eukaryota; Fungi; Glomeromycota; Glomeromycetes; Glomerales; Glomeraceae. The record is from RNAcentral.